This 68-nucleotide transfer RNA is filed under the name Marmota monax (woodchuck). Its description in RNAcentral is "tRNA.Ala". The stretch from base 3 to 63 matches the Rfam family "tRNA", at positions 6 to 65 of the family's 71-position model. From Rfam's summary of the family: Transfer RNA (tRNA) molecules are approximately 80 nucleotides in length. Their secondary structure includes four short double-helical elements and three loops (D, anti-codon, and T loops). Lineage: Eukaryota; Metazoa; Chordata; Mammalia; Rodentia; Sciuridae. The record is from RNAcentral.
GUUGUAGCUCAGUGGCAGAGCACUUGCCUAGCAUGUGUGAGGCACUGGGUUCAAUCCUCAGCACAACA